GGUCCCGAGCGUUGUCCGGAUUUAUUGGGCGUAAAGCGAGCGCAGGCGGUUUGAUAAGUCUGAAGUUAAAGGCUGUGGCUCAACCAUAGUUCGCUUUGGAAACUGUCAAACUUGAGUGCAGAAGGGGAGAGUGGAAUUCCAUGUGUAGCGGUGGAAUGCGUAGAUAUAUGGAGGAACACCGGUGGCGAAAGCGGCUCUCUGGUCUGUAACUGACGCUGAGGCUCGAAAGCGUGGGGAGCGAACAGGAUUAGAUACCCUGGUAGUCCACGCCGUAAACGAUGAGUGCUAGGUGUUGGAUCCUUUCCGGGAUUCAGUGCCGCAGCUAACGCAUUAAGC
RNAcentral lists this ribosomal RNA (336 nucleotides) under uncultured bacterium. RNAcentral's name for it is "bacterial SSU rRNA". It matches the Rfam family "Bacterial small subunit ribosomal RNA", at positions 530 to 865 of the family's 1533-position model. The record is from RNAcentral.